This 939-nucleotide ribosomal RNA is filed under the name uncultured bacterium. RNAcentral describes it as "bacterial SSU rRNA". It matches the Rfam family "Bacterial small subunit ribosomal RNA", at positions 522 to 1472 of the family's 1533-position model. The record is from RNAcentral.
AAUACGAAGGGACCUAGCGUAGUUCGGAAUUACUGGGCUUAAAGAGUUCGUAGGUGGUUGAAAAAGUUAGUGGUGAAAUCCCAGAGCUUAACUCUGGAACUGCCAUUAAAACUUUUCAGCUAGAGUAUGAUAGAGGAAAGCAGAAUUUCUAGUGUAGAGGUGAAAUUCGUAGAUAUUAGAAAGAAUACCAAUUGCGAAGGCAGCUUUCUGGAUCAUUACUGACACUGAGGAACGAAAGCAUGGGUAGCGAAGAGGAUUAGAUACCCUCGUAGUCCAUGCCGUAAACGAUGUGUGUUAGACGUUGGAAAUUUAUUUUCAGUGUCGCAGCGAAAGCGAUAAACACACCGCCUGGGGAGUACGACCGCAAGGUUAAAACUCAAAUGAAUUGACGGGGACCCGCACAAGUAGUGGAGCAUGUGGUUUAAUUCGAAGAUACGCGCAGAACCUUACCAACACUUGACAUGUUCGUCGCGACUCUAAGAGAUUAGAGUUUUCGGUUCGGCCGGACGAAACACAGGUGCUGCAUGGCUGUCGUCAGCUCGUGUCGUGAGAUGUUGGGUUAAGUCCCGCAACGAGCGCAACCCUCACUUUUAGUUGCCAUCAUUUAGUUGGGCACUCUGAAAGAACUGCCAGUGAUAAGCUGGAGGAAGGUGGGGAUGACGUCAAGUCCUCAUGGCCCUUACGUGUUGGGCUACACACGUGCUACAAUGGUAUCUACAACAGGAAGCAAGACUGCGAGGUCAAGCAAAUCCUUAAAAGAUACCUCAGUUCGGAUUGCACUCUGCAACUCGAGUGCAUGAAGCUGGAAUUACUAGUAAUCGUGGAUCAGCGUGCCACGGUGAAUGCGUUCCCGGGUCUUGUACACACCGCCCGUCACACCAUGGGAGUUGGUUCUACCUUAAGGCAAGGUUUAAAACCCUUGACCACGGUAUAGUCAGC